RNAcentral lists this ribosomal RNA (470 nucleotides) under uncultured bacterium. RNAcentral describes it as "bacterial SSU rRNA". It matches the Rfam family "Bacterial small subunit ribosomal RNA", at positions 355 to 825 of the family's 1533-position model. The record is from RNAcentral.
UAAGGAAUAUUGGACAAUGGACGGAAGUCUGAUCCAGCCAUGCCGCGUGCAGGAAGAAGGCGCUCAGCGUUGUAAACUGCUUUUUGAAUGGGAAUAAUACUGUCGACGCGUUCGGCAAUUGAAGGUACCAUUAGAAUAAGCACCGGCUAACUCCGUGCCAGCAGCCGCGGUAAUACGGAGGGUGCAAGCGUUAUCCGGAAUCACUGGGUUUAAAGGGUGCGUAGGCGGUUUGAUAAGUCAGUUGUGAAAUUCUCCGGCUUAACCGGGUGGACUGCGAUUGAUACUGUUGGACUUGAAUUAGGUUGAGGUAGGCGGAAUGUGGCAUGUAGCGGUGAAAUGCAUAGAUAUGCCAUAGAACACCGAUUGCGAAGGCAGCUUGCUGGACCUAUAUUGACGCUGAGGCACGAAAGCGUGGGGAGCAAACAGGAUUAGAUACCCCCGUAGUCCCUGAGCGGGCUGGCAAGGCGCAU